RNAcentral lists this ribosomal RNA (260 nucleotides) under uncultured bacterium. Its description in RNAcentral is "partial 16S ribosomal RNA". It matches the Rfam family "Bacterial small subunit ribosomal RNA", at positions 793 to 1055 of the family's 1533-position model. The record is from RNAcentral.
GUCCACGCCGUAAACGAUGUCAACUAGCCGUUGGGAGCCUUGAGCUCUUAGUGGCGCAGCUAACGCAUUAAGUUGACCGCCUGGGAGUACGGCCGCAAGGUUAAACUCAAAUGAAUUGACGGGGCCCGCACAAGCGGUGGAGCAUGUGGUUUAAUUCGAAGCAACGCGAAGAACCUUACCAGGCCUUGACAUCCAAUGAACUUUCCAGAGAUGGAUUGGUGCCUUCGGGAACAUUGAGACAGGUGCUGCAUGGCUGUCGU